RNAcentral lists this ribosomal RNA (413 nucleotides) under Mycobacterium nonchromogenicum. Its description in RNAcentral is "Mycolicibacter nonchromogenicus bacterial SSU rRNA". It matches the Rfam family "Bacterial small subunit ribosomal RNA", at positions 92 to 505 of the family's 1533-position model. Lineage: Bacteria; Bacillati; Actinomycetota; Actinomycetes; Mycobacteriales; Mycobacteriaceae. The record is from RNAcentral.
CGAGUGGCGAACGGGUGAGUAACACGUGGGUGAUCUGCCCUGCACUUUGGGAUAAGCCUGGGAAACUGGGUCUAAUACCGAAUAGGACCGCAUGCUGCAUGGUGUGUGGUGGAAAGCUUUUGCGGUGUGGGAUGGGCCCGCGGCCUAUCAGCUUGUUGGUGGGGUAAUGGCCUACCAAGGCGACGACGGGUAGCCGGCCUGAGAGGGUGUCCGGCCACACUGGGACUGAGAUACGGCCCAGACUCCUACGGGAGGCAGCAGUGGGGAAUAUUGCACAAUGGGCGCAAGCCUGAUGCAGCGACGCCGCGUGGGGGAUGACGGCCUUCGGGUUGUAAACCUCUUUCAGUAUCGGCGAAGCUCCAAGGUUUUCUUUGGGGUGACGGUAGGUACAGAAGAAGCACCGGCCAACUACG